GACGAACGCUGGCGGCGUGCUUAACACAUGCAAGUCGAACGGAAAGGCCCUGCUUUUGUGGGGUGCUCGAGUGGCGAACGGGUGAGUAACACGUGAGUAACCUGCCCUUGACUUUGGGAUAACUUCAGGAAACUGGGGCUAAUACCGGAUAGGAGCUCCUGCUGCAUGGUGGGGGUUGGAAAGUUUCGGCGGUUGGGGAUGGACUCGCGGCUUAUCAGCUUGUUGGUGGGGUAGUGGCUUACCAAGGCUUUGACGGGUAGCCGGCCUGAGAGGGUGACAGGCCACAUAGGGACUGAGAUACGGCCAAGACGCCUACGGGAGGCAGCAGUGGGGAAUAUUGCACAAUGGGCGGAAGCCUGAUGCAGCAACGCCGCGUGCGGGAUGACGGCCUUCGGGUUGUAAACCGCUUUCGCCUGUGACGAAGCGUGAGUGACGGUAAUGGGUAAAGAAGCACCGGCUAACUACGUG
Molecule: ribosomal RNA, 468 nt
Filed under: uncultured bacterium
Lineage: Bacteria
Description: partial 16S ribosomal RNA
Rfam family: Bacterial small subunit ribosomal RNA
Source: RNAcentral